RNAcentral lists this long non-coding RNA (442 nucleotides) under Fragaria vesca (wild strawberry). Its description in RNAcentral is "long non-coding RNA (FVES_LNC001091)". The record is from RNAcentral. Lineage: Eukaryota; Viridiplantae; Streptophyta; Magnoliopsida; Rosales; Rosaceae.
GAAAAAUGCUGGCUUUUGAGGCAAUGGCAUAGUUACCGAGUAACUGCUUAGCAUGAGAACUACGGUUUGCAUUGUAGGUCUCUUCUCUGGAUCUUCUUGGACACACAGUAAAGCAAUAUGGAUACAUCUGAUUACUUCAUUUCUUGAAUAAGAACGUCUUAGAUUUCGAUCCAGCAACUCUUCUGGCGUCCCAUCCCUCCAAUGGUUCCAAGCCUAGAAUUUUUUCAUUUCAUGAAUCCAUUAGAAUGUAAGAAACUUGCAAUCUUGAAAAAAUUAUUUACUUGCUCAGAUAUCUGAAUUCAACUUAUACUCACAUAGGUCAAGAGGUAUUCGCCACGUUCGGAUUGAAAGCUAGUGUUCUUCUCGCUGGUUACAAUCUCUAAGAUCAAGACACCAAGACUGUACACAUCAGAUUUCACCGAGAACUGUCCGUGCAUUACGU